RNAcentral lists this ribosomal RNA (389 nucleotides) under Henicops washpoolensis. RNAcentral's name for it is "partial 16S ribosomal RNA". It matches the Rfam family "Bacterial large subunit ribosomal RNA", at positions 1923 to 2545 of the family's 2925-position model. The record is from RNAcentral. Lineage: Eukaryota; Metazoa; Arthropoda; Chilopoda; Lithobiomorpha; Henicopidae.
UUAAAUGGCCGCGGUAUUUUGACCGUGCGAAGGUAGCAUAAUCAUUAGUCUAUUAAUUGUAGACUGGUAUGAAAGGCUAGAUGGGGAAAAGCUGUCUUUUUUGGUAUAAUGAAUUUUAAAUUUUUGUGAAGAUGCAAAAAUAUAAUUAGGGGACGAGAAGACCCUAUUAAGCUUUACAUGUAAAUUUUAAAAAGGAAAAUUAAAAGGAAAUGUUAUGUUGGGGCGACAGUAAACAAUAACGUUUAUUAAAGUUUAAUAAUGUAAUUAAAUUAUGAAUGACCCAAAAAAUUUGGUUAUAAGAACAAGUUACUAUAGGGAUAACAGCGUAAUCUCAUUGGAGAGUUCAUAUUGAUGAUGAGGGUUGCGACCUCGAUGUUGAAUUAGGAUAC